This 274-nucleotide ribosomal RNA is filed under the name uncultured bacterium. RNAcentral's name for it is "partial 16S ribosomal RNA". It matches the Rfam family "Bacterial small subunit ribosomal RNA", at positions 523 to 796 of the family's 1533-position model. The record is from RNAcentral.
AUACGGAGGGGGUUAGCGUUGUUCGGAAUUACUGGGCGUAAAGCGCACGUAGGCGGAUUGGAAAGUUGGGGGUGAAAUCCCAGGGCUCAACCCUGGAACUGCCUCCAAAACUAACAGUCUAGAGUUCGAGAGAGGUGAGUGGAAUUCCAAGUGUAGAGGUGAAAUUCGUAGAUAUUUGGAGGAACACCAGUGGCGAAGGCGGCUCACUGGCUCGAUACUGACGCUGAGGUGCGAAAGCGUGGGGAGCAAACAGGAUUAGAAACCCGGGUAGUCC